Molecule: ribosomal RNA, 344 nt
Filed under: uncultured bacterium
Lineage: Bacteria
Description: partial 16S ribosomal RNA
Rfam family: Bacterial small subunit ribosomal RNA
Source: RNAcentral
CCUACGGGUGGCAGCAGUGAGGAAUAUUGGUCAAUGGGCGCUAGCCUGAACCAGCCAAGUAGCGUGAAGGAUGACUGCCCUAUGGGUUGUAAACUUCUUUUAUAUGGGAAUAAAGUGCAGUAUGUAUACUGCUUUGCAUGUACCUUAUGAAUAAGGAUCGGAUAACUCCGUGCCAGCAGCCGCGGUAAUACGGAGGAGCCGAUCGUUAUCCGGAUUUAGUGGGUUGAAAGGGAGCGUAGGCGGGUUGUUAAGUCAGUUGUGAAAGGUUGCGGCUCAACCCUAAAAUUGCAGUUGAUACUGUCAUCCUUGAGUACAGUAGAGGUAGGCGGAUUUCGUGGUGUAGC